UCCACGCGUUUGUCGUCGAUGGAUGCUCUCUAUUUGGACCGAGUGUUUUCCAUUUUUUUUUCUUGCUUUCCCUUGCCUUCUCACAGAUCUAGAUCUAUGUUCUGUUCUUCUCGACCUUAUCCUUUAUCGAUCUCAGUUUGUGGUGCCUCGCCGAUUACGGCCUGCUCUGUUCCUCUCAAACCCUUGAAAGCAUCGUCGAUCAGAUCUCUGUUUCGAGUUUAUCCAGUGGAUUUUUGUUUUUCAUUCCACUGCUGUCUCUCGAUUUGUAUUGCCUCUCUGAUUCUGGCUUUGUCCGUGUGUGUCCAACGGUAGAAACCGGCUUAAAUCAAUUUUCUGUGCCUUGGUUCUGCUCCUUGGGUCGCUGACCUGGAGAUUCAAUUAUCAAAAUUUUGGUGUUUUCACAUUACUGAUUCGAAUUGGUCGUUGCUGAGAGGAUCAAAUUGCUCAUCAUCCAAGUAUAAAUGCUGCUGUGGAGCUGCUUAAAUGAGGUCCCUUUUCGGUUAUUAAAACUCAAUGUUACCUGCUUUCAUUUCCAAUUUUUAAGUCUUCUAUUUGUUUGCUUGCUGCAAUUAUUCAACUUAGCUGCUAUAACAUUUGUUUCCUUCUGUUUUGUCCUCUGCAUUAACUACCAUUUGGAUCAUGUGAAUGACAACUUUCAUGUAUAUUUCGAAUAAUGAGUAGUUUAUUGCUGUUAAUCUUUUGAUCAACUUCAUUUUUACAA
Molecule: non-coding RNA, 721 nt
Organism: Malus domestica (apple)
Lineage: Eukaryota; Viridiplantae; Streptophyta; Magnoliopsida; Rosales; Rosaceae
Source: RefSeq, a predicted model, not a curated record